UAGGGAAUCUUCCACAAUGGACGCAAGUCUGAUGGAGCAACGCCGCGUGAGUGAAGAAGGUUUUCGGACCGUAAAGCUCUGUUGUUGGUGAAGAAGGAUAGAGGUAGUAACUGGCCUUUAUUUGACGGUAAUCAACCAGAAAGUCACGGCUAACUACGUGCCAGCAGCCGCGGUAAUACGUAGGUGGCAAGCGUUGUCCGGAUUUAUUGGGCGUAAAGCGAGCGCAGGCGGAAGAAUAAGUCUGAUGUGAAAGCCCUCGGCUUAACCGAGGAAUUGCAUCGGAAACUGUUUUCUUGAGUGCAGAAGGGGAGAGUAGAACUCCAUGUGUAGCGGUGGAAUGCGUAGAUAUAUGGAAGAAUACCAGUGGCGAAGGCGGCUCUCUGGUCUGCAACUGACGCUGAGGCUCGAAAGCAUGGGUAGCGAACAGGAUUAGAUACCCUGGUAGUCCAUGCCGUAAACGAUGAGUGCUAAGUGUUGGGGAGGCUUCCGCCUNUCAGUGCUGCAGCUAACGCAUU
This 515-nucleotide ribosomal RNA is filed under the name uncultured bacterium. Its description in RNAcentral is "partial 16S ribosomal RNA". It matches the Rfam family "Bacterial small subunit ribosomal RNA", at positions 355 to 861 of the family's 1533-position model. The record is from RNAcentral.